GACGAACGCUGGCGGCGUGCUUAACACAUGCAAGUCGAACGGAAAGGCCCUGCUUGCAGGGUACUCGAGUGGCGAACGGGUGAGUAACACGUGGGUGAUCUGCCCCGCACUUCGGGAUAAGCCUGGGAAGCUGGGUCUAAUACCGGAUAGGAGCCAUUUUUAGAGCGAGGGUCGGACAGUUUUUUCGGUGUAGGAUGAGCUCGCGGCCUAUCAGCUUGUUGGUGGGGUAAUGGCCUACCAAGGCGGCGACGGGUAGCCGGCCUGUGAGGGUGGACGGCCACAUUGGGACUUAGAGACGGCCCAGGCUCCUACGGGUGGCAGCAGUGGGGAAUCUUGCUCAAUGGGCGCCAGCCUGAUGCAGCGACGCCGCGUGGGGGAUGACGGCCUUCGGGUUGUAAACUCCUUUCGCUAGGGACGAAGCUUUUUGUGACGGUACCUAGAUAAGAAGCACCGGCUAACUACGUG
This 465-nucleotide ribosomal RNA is filed under the name uncultured bacterium. RNAcentral's name for it is "partial 16S ribosomal RNA". It matches the Rfam family "Bacterial small subunit ribosomal RNA", at positions 28 to 507 of the family's 1533-position model. The record is from RNAcentral.